CAGCCACAACACGUUGAAACAUUGGUUUCCAUACGAUCACCGAAGCUAAGCAAUGCCGUUCCUAGUCAGUACUUAGAUGGGUGACCGCUUUGGAAUAGCAGGUGCU
Acanthosepion pharaonis is the source of this 106-nucleotide non-coding RNA. The record is from the annotation of a GenBank genome assembly. Lineage: Eukaryota; Metazoa; Mollusca; Cephalopoda; Sepiida; Sepiidae.